GAUGAAGAACGCAGCGAAAUGCGAUAAGUAGUGUGAAUUGCAGAAUUCAGUGAAUCAUCGAAUCUUUGAACGCACCUUGCGCUCCUUGGUAUUCCGAGGAGCAUGCCUGUUUGAGUGUCAUUAAUAUAUCAACCUUCUCUUUUUUGAGUUGUUUGGAUGUGGGGGUUUGCUGGCCUCUUAAAUGAUUCAGCUCCCCUGAAAUGCAUUAGCAGAACAACCUGUUCAUUAGCGUGAUAAUUAUCUAUGCUAUUGAAUGUGAGGGCAGUUCAGCUUUCUAACCGUCCUUGGACAAUUCAUCAUUAAUGUGACCUCAAAUCAGGUAGGACUACCCGCUGAACUUAAGCAUAUCAAUAAGCGGAGGA
This 362-nucleotide unclassified non-coding RNA is filed under the name soil metagenome. Its description in RNAcentral is "partial contains 5.8S ribosomal RNA, internal transcribed spacer 2, and large subunit ribosomal RNA". The stretch from base 1 to 120 matches the Rfam family "5.8S ribosomal RNA", at positions 35 to 154 of the family's 154-position model. The record is from RNAcentral.